GUUCACCACAUCAUCCACCUCUACAAUCAAACACAGAGAACAUCUGAUACCCACCUCAACUUGUACCAGAAAAACAAGCACCUAAAAAGGUCUGCCUUUGACCUCUACAGGAAUCUUGCUGGGCUAUUAUGGUAGACCAAAGAACAAAAACGUCUGGAGGAAGGAAGUCCUUACUGCCUCCUGCUUACAAGAGUCAAAGCAAGAGUGUGAAGGGGUUGUAUAUGUAGUUUAUCUGAUUGACUUUGGACUGCAGUCCUUUCUGCCCCCACAGUGGGCACAUACCCCUGCUAGGUACCACAAUUUAGUCACUACUAUUCACGGAGGGAGCUGCAGUGACAAUUCUUCCUCACCUGGGAAACAUGAAGCACAGCUCCAAAAUUCACAUCAAGAGACCUACAAAUAAAUCAAAUUUAAGUUACGGAGUGGUUGUAGCCCAGCCCAGGGAGCUGUUUUGGGAGCCAGCAGAGGACAAGUGGCGCUGGUCUCUUGGCAACACUGGUGAUACUCGAGGGCAUGGACAGAAAUGCCAAGUUGUCAGGUGAGCCAGAAUGGUCAGGUGGGAUCUCAGCAAUGAACCAAACUGUCCACUGGCUGCAAGCCUGGCAGUGUGUGGGGAGGUGAAGGCAAUCAUCACAUACAUUUUUCACAGGACUCUGCUCUUACGCAGCCUAAUGGAAUUCCUCUGUCAAAGAUUAAAUAGAGCUCUGGGUCUCAGCCAGGGUAGAUGACUCUUAGGUCAAGCAAACACUUCACACACAUCUAUAAUGCAAAGCUGCUGUAAGGUGGGUAGAGGCAGCACUUCUAUUUGCCAAAAUGUGCUUCCUUUGUCUGGCUUCCACCUGCCAGUUCUGUAGAAUGAUCUCAGUAGAAUCCAUACAGUUUAUGUUCUAGUCACAAACCUUUAUUGCAGAUUCUCAACACCCAUUUUUAACAGAGGGACACAGCAUGACCCAUAUUCUCAGAAGGACGUGGACUCAAUAUAGCCUGUAUCCUAAAGCGUACUCACAACAAAGCUAUGGAGCUUUUCAGAGAAAAAAGAUGUCAUGUUAUUGUAGUUAGCAAAUUUAAUUUCCCACCAUGACCAUUUUUUACUUCCUUA
Parus major (Great Tit) is the source of this 1099-nucleotide long non-coding RNA. RefSeq lists it as uncharacterized. The transcript has 2 exons. NCBI's taxonomy places the organism in Eukaryota, Metazoa, Chordata, Aves, Passeriformes, Paridae. The record is from RefSeq and is a predicted model, not a curated record.